This 1566-nucleotide ribosomal RNA is filed under the name Triticum aestivum (bread wheat). Its description in RNAcentral is "partial small subunit ribosomal RNA". Lineage: Eukaryota; Viridiplantae; Streptophyta; Magnoliopsida; Poales; Poaceae. The record is from RNAcentral.
AUGGCUAUGGAGCAUGAUCAACCUCGUGAACGCAAAGACGAUGAGCAGUUCGUUUGGCCAUGGAAGGGUGUUCUUGUUAACGUGCCUACCGAAUGGAAGAACGGGCGCCGCGUCGGAGAACAAGGAAACCACUUGAGGGAUCAGCUCUCGCAAUUUUGCGCACGAAAGGUUAUUCCUUUGUGGGACAAACGCAGCGGCCAUACUAGGAGUGCCAUUGUGGAGUUCACAAAAGACUGGAGUGGUUUCAAAAAUGCCAUGGACUUUGAAUAUCACUUUGAGACACGAGGAUGUGGCAAAAGGCAUGGGAAGGGGCAGCAUUACCAUGGGCCAGAGAUGUUUGGUUGGGUUGCCAGAGCAGAUGAUCACAGAUCGUACACUCCUAUUGGUUACUGGUUGCGCAACUACACUGAUCUAAAAACCAUUGCUGAUCUUAAGAAUGAAGAAGAGCGUAAAACUGGCAAACUUGAAGAAAGCCUAGACAAACGGGUUGAGGCAAUGGACAGGGAUGUGCAAGAGCUUCAACACGAGAACAAUCGAAUGACUCAGUUGCUUGGUAAGGCAGAGGAGGAUCUGAAGAAGCUCCUCCAGUCUCAAACUGAAGAAAUUGACAAAAUACAGCUUGAUGCGCUAGAGAAGGAAGAGAAUGCUAUGAUGGAGCGAGUGAGGGCCACUGAAAUUUUGCUGAAGCUUGAGGAAGAGCAUCAGAGGGAGACAAAACUCACUCUAAAUAAGGAUCUUGAGUUACGAAAGCUAAUGCUUGACAAGCAGGCUCUCGAGAUAGAACUCAAACAGCUAGAGGGUGAAUUGGAAGUAAUGGAGAUUAUGCCAGGUGAGGAAAUUUCGAAGAAGAAGAGAAUAGAUGAACUUCGUGAGACUCUAAAAGAGAAGUAUGAGAGUAAGGAAGAUAUGGAAUCACUUCAGAAGAUCCUUAUUGCCAAGCAAACAGCACACACCAGUGAGUUGCGACCUGCUAGGAAGAAGCUAAUAGAUGGCUUCCUGGAUCUUACAAAGGGUCGAGGAAAUAUAGGCAUCAAAAGAAUAGGAAAACUUGAAGAAAAGGCGUUUUUAAAUGCUGGCAAAAAACAGUUACCAGAAGACGAUGCAGAAUUUGCAGCUACCAUUCUUUAUUCAGAGUGGGAGGCUCAGAUUGAAAAUUGGGCUGCCACGGUUCAUGGAAAAAACACGGAAAUGAUCUCCAAGGACAAUGAGAAGCUCCGGGAACUAAAAGAAAAGCAUGGUGAUGAAAUCUACACUUUGGUAACAAAGGCGCUGGAUGAAAUCAACGAGUACAAGCCUUUUGCCGAAGAACAAGGUGGAGAAAUCUUUGGUGUACCUGAGUUGUGGAACUACAAGGCGGACCGGCGAGCAACCAUGUACAGGCAGGUAAAGCUGUACGUGCAGCUUCACGAAAACCAUCCUGCUUACAGGACUACAUGGGAUCUAUCAGGCAAAAAAGAUCUAUCUUCUAGUGGUUGGCUCUCGUCUUGGGCGCCUAUCUUUGUCAUUUUUCAUUUUUGCACCCCCCUUGCUAGUCUUGAGAAAAAGCAAGAAAAGCUAGAUGAUUGA